RNAcentral lists this ribosomal RNA (548 nucleotides) under uncultured bacterium. RNAcentral's name for it is "bacterial SSU rRNA". It matches the Rfam family "Bacterial small subunit ribosomal RNA", at positions 258 to 803 of the family's 1533-position model. The record is from RNAcentral.
UAACGGCCCUCCUAGUCUUCGAUGGAUAGGGGUUCUGAGAGGAAGGUCCUCCACAUGGAAACUGAGACACGGUCCAAACUCCUACGGGAGGCAGCAGUGAGGAAUAUUGGUCAAUGGGCGAGAGCCUGAACCAGCCAAGUAGCGUGAAGGAUGACUGCCCUAUGGGUUGUAAACUUCUUUUAUAAAGGAAUAAAGUCGGGUAUGGAUACCCGUUUGCAUGUACUUUAUGAAUAAGGAUCGGCUAACUCCGUGCCAGCAGCCGCGGUAAUACGGAGGAUCCGAGCGUUAUCCGGAUUUAUUGGGUUUAAAGGGAGCGUAGAUGGAUGUUUAAGUCAGUUGUGAAAGUUUGCGGCUCAACCGUAAAAUUGCAGUUGAUACUGGAUAUCUUGAGUGCAGUUGAGGCAGGCGGAAUUCGUGGUGUAGCGGUGAAAUGCUUAGAUAUCACGAAGAACUCCGAUUGCGAAGGCAGCCUGCUAAGCUGCAACUGACAUUGAGGCUCGAAAGUGUGGGUAUCAAACAGGAUUAGAUACCCUGGUAGUCCACACGGU